ACACUGCACAAUAGUAUAGCUGGCUGUGUACAUUUCUAUCAAUAAAAUAUAUGUAAUGUAGGAGAGAGUGGUGUCAGUUGAGCCAAAUGGUCUAUGCGUGCGCCACCCGUGUUUCUAGGAAACAAUGAACAAAAUUAAUAUUUUGACCAAAUAUUUAGGACGAGGUCCUCAUUUCAUGUAGUCUGUGAAGGAGGAAACCACGUUGGAAAAAGUGCCAAUAGCAGCAGGAACUUCUCCUGAGGCAGGAUCAGAGCAAAGCAGCAGUCCCUGCGUCCUCCAGAGGGCAGCUUGGGCAGGUCCAGGAUCUCCCUGCCCUCCACGAUGGCCUCACAGCCACCCUGCAAUGCCACCAUCUGGUCAGGAGGGGACACUGCAUCGCGACUCACCAACACACAGCCGUCAGCUGUCAAUAUGAGGAUUAAAACAAGUCACAUGGUUGGAGGAUCAAGAGGGGGCUGGACCAAGCAGAUAAUACUGCCUAUAGCGUGCACUUGAACUAGAAUAAACAGUGCCACACAUCUGGAUCCACUCACUACAUGUGCAAACCAAAGUGAUGCACUUCAUCAGAGCAUAUAGAACCAUCAGUCCCGGACAGGAGACAGUCUGAACAGCUGUUAUCCCACUAGCAUAUGGCAUUUGACUGCAUCAUAUGACCAUGUCCUCAUUAAUUGAUACAAAUGAUGUGGUCUGAUCUACUAAUCUAUUCUUGAUCUAUUCCUGCCCUAGAUUGUCUGUGCCAGAACUCCAAAGCACUAUUUUUCUCUGCAUUUGCCCAACUAAUUCCACGUUAUGCAAUGCAUGGUAUGUUGAUGGAACAUGCACCACUCAUUUUACAUCAACACAUUUUUUCCACCUAGUCAGCUCUGAGAUUCAAACCAGCAACCUUUCGGUUAUUGGCCCAGCGAGCUUAACCACUAGGCUACCUGCCGCCCACUCCUAAGUGUCCUGUAUUUAGUCACAAUUUAGAAAUGCUGUAUUGAUGCCCGUAAAGCUCAAUAGAUCUAGCUUAGCACCGGACAUAGACUGUAAAACAUUUCCCCGUUGUCAUAAUGCAAAAGAAGCUUGUCUGUUUAUGCUAGUCAUCAUCUAAUAAAUAUUUCUAUGGAUUUGACAUAGGCUUCAAUUUUGUCCCAAAACUGAAGAUAAUCAUUAUUUGACAGAAAUUAAUACAUAAAAAAAAAAACAUCAAUAAAUGUACAUUACAAUAAUAUUUCAAGUAACGUCCUACCAAUUAUUACUACUAAACAAAAAUAACUAAAGUAAAAGAGAGGAGAACUGGUGUCUUACCAUACUUCCUGAGAAAUCCACGGUGAAUCCCUGCAACACUCAUAUUUAAAGGUUAGCCUCCAUGAGAGACAAGGCGCAAGAGAUGGAGAGAGCGAUGGCUGUAUUUAGGAAGGAUGCAAAGUGGGCGAGUGAGCAUGCCUGUGUGUGUUUGGUGUGUUUUAGUGCCGAGGCAUAAUCCCCAUUCAGCUGGAGCAUCCCACACAGGGGCAGUUCAGAAGCUUGGAAUGAGAUUGGUUUUACUGUCCUCAUGCAAGCCAAGUACAAUCACAUAAACAACACGUGCCAGUGCAAAUCAAAAGUAAAGUACUGGAGUAUGAAUGGUCAAAUCUAAUGCAAAAUUCCUAACUUACAAAAUGACCUAUAGCCUAACCAUUUGUGCAACAUUUUCACUAAUGCAAAUAGAAUUAGAGAAAGCACGCAUUCACUGGGUAAAGCACAUAUAAUCUGUACUGUCUAUUGUGCUAUUACUGACAUGGUGCAUAACCACUCUCUUCUCUUGAGCCACUUGAUAGUAUUUCCUAUCGAUACUUGCAUGCACUAAAAUAACUAAGACUUGCACUAUGACUCAGUGAUUUAAGUCCUCAAUCACUAAAACAUGUACUAUGACUCAGUGAUUAAAGUCCUCAAUCACUAAAACAUGUACUAUGACUCAGUGAUUAAAGUCCCCAAUCACUAAAACAUGUACUAUGACUCAGUGAUUAAAUCCUCAAUAAUUGGUGUAUUUCUUAAUCUUAAUCCCAUUAACACUUUCAUGUGAAGUCAACAACAACCCCCUGUGGUAGGGUGCAAUGAGAUCACAUUGACAAUCCCUCACUGGCCUUUGACCCCAGAUUAUGGCGGCCACAGGGGAUUGCUGUAUCUCUCCACAGAUGGUUUGUGGGAAAUAGGAAUGGACAGACUGAUACCAUGUUAAUCUUUAAUAGCCUAUGUGAAUGUUGCAGCAUAAAUCCCAUAUGGUUUUAAAAUAUCAUACAUGGAACAGACCUUAAGCAUUUUGCUGCAGGAUAACAGUCAUUCACAUCUCUGCAGAUAAACAUUUUAUUUGUUUGUAUUUCAUAAGAACUUUAACAAUGAAAACUGACAUUAAGUUUUCUCAUACGUGCAUCCAUCCUUUAUCAUGUGCUAGCGUAUUCUUUCAUACGAAGAUGUGCUUUUCUGUCAUUCAUUAUUUGAAUAUCCAGAUGAGAGAUCAUGUAUAACAUCUUGUUUUUCAAGCCUGGCUCUGAGGACCAACAGGGUGUGUAGGCUUUUGCUCCGGCCCACCGUCAAACAAGGUUCAUUUUAGGAUUGAUAAUUAUUAGUUGAUUAUUUGAAUCAGGUAGUAUUAGCCAUCGAUGAACCCCAAGGACUAUGAUUGAAGAGCACUGCUAUGGCAUGAGAUUAUGCUGUUUUGGCCUAGGACAUUUUAUUGCAGUGUUGUGAUUCUAAGAACGUCCACAAGGGCGCAGUAAUACCCCAUGGACUGUAUGUUGAAUGUUUUUAUGUUGCCAUGAAAUAGGGUUGUGACUAGAUGGAGUACAGCCAUGACCCAAAAGUGACUUUUCGUAGCAGGUUAUGAGAACGUUUUAGCUAACCUUAACUGGUUUCCUAACCUACUACGUUAAUUCUAUUAACAUGCUACAUAAAAGUCACUUCUGGUCGUAGCUGUACACCACUUAGUCAAAACCAGGAAAUAGCCUACUACUAAAUCCUCUGUUUCCUCAUUUUAGAAACACACCCGACUAGUCUUGAGGAGUGAAAUUUGUAGGCCUAUACAUUUGUUUUUGCAUGUGUAAAGUCUGCUGCCUCUAAGAUAAUAAUGUUAUUGACCAUUUUACUGUUUUCUCAGCUGACUGGUAUAUCAUGUUAUGACAGUAUAUCAUGUUAUGACAGUGGAUUUAGAUGUGGAAACAAUGUUGAUUCAACCUUUUUUUGCCCAGUGGUUAAUGUCUACAUUUGUUUUUGCCACGUUUAUUCUAUGACAGACACUUGAACUUUUACAUUAUAUGAUGUGAGCUAAACAUACAAAAUCAUUUUUUCCUUGAAAUAUUUAAUUGAAAUACUAUAGAAUUCCAUUCAUUAUGGAGCAGGCUUUCCCAAAUUCGGUCGAGGAGUGUUUCUUCAAUGAUUGAGUGUGCAUGACGGUCAAUAAAGUAAGUGAAGAAAAGGGAGGGAGGAGUAAUGGAGGGAAAACAUGUCAAGAGCUAAAGUUUGCCCAUAGAGUAAUUCAACCGAUGUUGAGAGACUGUCUAAUACUCGCGCACUAUUUGCUUAUUACAAACUAAACUAGCUGGAUUUGAUGUAUCCUAUUUUUUAAAUUCGACUCCUCGAAGGAGCAAAACAAUUUAAAGAAUUCCCAUGGCAUAGUCUAAAGUAUACUUUUUGGAAAGCAGCUGAAACCUUCAAGAAAUAAAGUCUAACAUCUGGAUACUGUGCAUGGAAGAUGACUCAUUCUUGCCAGGAAUCGUGUAAAUAUGUCUGAGGCAUAGUAGAGAGCAAUCUUAUUCUUCAAGAGCAAACCUGAACGAGGAUGAACGGCAGCGGGGGGUGUGUGCCGUUAUUUGUUCUUCUGUUGAUGGACAGUGCUAGGCCUACCUGUGCCAGGUGAGUCAGCAUGGACGAUAACGGAGGCGCUGUCAUAACGUAUAUUUUAUUAUUUGAAAAACCUUUUUAAAAGUUCAUGUUUUUCCUUCAUUAUGGUUUAUCUUACUUACGAAGGUUUUAGACUGAUAUAGUUACAGAUAUAGGUUUUUAAUUUGAGCCAGUUUGCUACAACAGGAAAGAAUCCUGCAACAACAGAAAAUGUUCAUUAUUACGUGGAUUGUAAUUAAUGAACAUUUUUGUAGGGCUUGAUACAUUUUUCGUACGGGAAAAUCAAGUCUGAUAUUUCAGAGUGGAAAUUACAAACUUCAGAAGCCUUUUUAAACCUCAAAUACACUUCAGGUUUUAUAGUUCCUGCAGUGCAGUAAAGUUCUCUUGCAAGAGGGCGAUCAAAUUAAGAUCCUACAUCUGUAGGCUACUAUUAAAGGGAAUUGACAAUACAAUUUUAUUCUCUAUUUAAUGUUAAACUACUCUUAACUCAUGCUUCCCCUAAUGAACUUUGGUAUUUAUUAAUCUAUGAAUUAAUUAAAAGCAAUAGUCACUGAAUAUCAGUUUAACAUUCAGAGGUGUUGUGGGUGUCCCACCUGUUUUUUUUAAUUAAGUGUUUCAAUUUUUGAAGAGCCCGGCCAACGUAACCUUAUCCCUGGGUAAGCCGCUACAGGUGCUCUGUACUCUCCAGGGAGAUGGGGGUGGAGAGGAGCCUCCGGGUGUGGUGUGGUUGAGGGACGGUCAAUCCCUGGAUUACGCUGACACCAAUCAAGUGUCACUGUCACUGAAGGAGGUUGGCUGACCAUCAGUGAACUCAGAAUUGAUCAUGUGAAGCUGUCAGACAUUGGGAGAUACUGUUGUAUGGCAACAGUUGGGAGGAAGGACUUGAUGUCCCAGGAGGGGCACAUUCAGCUGGAGGGAAUCCCACAUUUCUCAGUGAAGCCUCAUGACGUGACAGUGGUGGCUACUGUUAGCCUCAGCCUGCAGUGUUUGGCCCGUGGGCCUCCAGAACCAGUCAGGAUCAUCUGGCUGCAGAACGGAGGACCACUCAACACGCUACAGGACCCAGUGUCCCAUUCUCCCUCUACUCUCAAUAUCACAGGCAAAGACUGUCUUAU
Molecule: long non-coding RNA, 4973 nt
Organism: Oncorhynchus mykiss (rainbow trout)
Lineage: Eukaryota; Metazoa; Chordata; Actinopteri; Salmoniformes; Salmonidae
Source: RefSeq, a predicted model, not a curated record